RNAcentral lists this ribosomal RNA (263 nucleotides) under Staphylococcus aureus. RNAcentral's name for it is "partial 16S ribosomal RNA". It matches the Rfam family "Bacterial small subunit ribosomal RNA", at positions 1 to 253 of the family's 1533-position model. Lineage: Bacteria; Bacillati; Bacillota; Bacilli; Caryophanales; Staphylococcaceae. The record is from RNAcentral.
UUUAUGGAGAGUUUGAUCCUGGCUCAGGAUGAACGCUGGCGGCGUGCCUAAUACAUGCAAGUCGAGCGAACGGACGAGAAGCUUGCUUCUCUGAUGUUAGCGGCGGACGGGUGAGUAACACGUGGAUAACCUACCUAUAAGACUGGGAUAACUUCGGGAAACCGGAGCUAAUACCGGAUAAUAUUUUGAACCGCAUGGUUCAAAAGUGAAAGACGGUCUUGCUGUCACUUAUAGAUGGAUCCGCGCUGCAUUAGCUAGUUGGU